CCUACGGGAGGCAGCAGUAGGGAAUAUUGCUCAAUGGGGGAAACCCUGACGCAGCAACGCCGCGUGGAGGAUGAAGGUUUUCGGAUUGUAAACUCCUUUUGUUAGAGAAGAAAAUGACGGUAUUUAACGAAUAAGAACCGGCUAACUCCGUGCCAGCAGCCGCGGUAAUACGGAGGGUGCAAGCGUUACUCGGAAUCACUGGGCGUAAAGAGGGCGUAGGCGGGCUAGCAAGUCAGAUGUGAAAUCCUAUGGCUUAACCACAGAACUGCAUUUGAAACUGUUGUUCUAGAGUAUGGGAGAGGUAGGUGGAAUUCUUGGUGUAGGGGUAAAAUCCGUAGAGAUCAAGAGGAAUACUCAUUGCGAAGGCGACCUGCUGGAACAUAACUGACGCUGAUGCGCGAAAGCGUGGGGAGCAAACAGGAUUAGAUACCCUUGUAGUC
This 440-nucleotide ribosomal RNA is filed under the name uncultured bacterium. RNAcentral's name for it is "partial 16S ribosomal RNA". It matches the Rfam family "Bacterial small subunit ribosomal RNA", at positions 338 to 795 of the family's 1533-position model. The record is from RNAcentral.